RNAcentral lists this ribosomal RNA (384 nucleotides) under uncultured bacterium. RNAcentral's name for it is "bacterial SSU rRNA". It matches the Rfam family "Bacterial small subunit ribosomal RNA", at positions 29 to 412 of the family's 1533-position model. The record is from RNAcentral.
AUUGAACGCUGGCGGAAUGCUUUACACAUGCAAGUCGAGCGGCAGCGCGGGGGCAACCCUGGCGGCGAGCGGCGAACGGGUGAGUAAUACAUCGGAACGUGUCCUUCAAGUGGGGGAUAGCUCGGCGAAAGCCGGAUUAAUACCGCAUAAGCUCUGAGGAGGAAAGCGGGGGACUGGUAACGGCCUCGCGCUGUUGGAGCGGCCGAUGUCGGAUUAGCUAGUUGGUGGGGAAAGGCCCACCAAGGCGACGAUCCGUAGCUGGUCUGAGAGGACGACCAGCCACACUGGGACUGAGACACGGCCCAGACUCCUACGGGAGGCAGCAGUGGGGAAUUUUGGACAAUGGGGGAAACCCUGAUCCAGCCAUGCCGCGUGAGUGAAGAA